CCUACGGGGGGCUGCAGUAGGGAAUCUUCCGCAAUGGACGAACGUCUGACGGAGCAACGCCGCGUGAGCUAAGAAGGUAUACGGUUCGUAAAGCUCUGUUGUCGGUGAAGAAUAAGUACGGUAGGAAAUGGCCGUACCUUGAAGGUACCCGACGAGAAAGCGACGGCUAACUACGUGCCAGCAGACGCGGAUACACGGAGGUGGAAAGCGUUGUCCGGGAAUAUUGGGCUUAAAGCCCGAGCAGAUGGUGCUUUAAGUAUGAGUUGAAAUCCUGCGGCUCAACUGAAGACGGUCAUUGAAAACUGGGGAAGUUGCAGACAGAAAAGGACAGCAGAAUUCAACGUGGAGCGGUGAAGUUGGUGGAGAUCUGCAGCAACACCAGUGGUGAAGGUGGGCUUCUGGUCUGUAAUUGACGCUGUGGCGCGAAGGCAUGGGGCGCAAACAGGAUUAGCUACACUGGUAGUC
This 465-nucleotide ribosomal RNA is filed under the name uncultured bacterium. Its description in RNAcentral is "bacterial SSU rRNA". It matches the Rfam family "Bacterial small subunit ribosomal RNA", at positions 338 to 795 of the family's 1533-position model. The record is from RNAcentral.